Molecule: long non-coding RNA, 324 nt
Organism: Tribolium madens (black flour beetle)
Lineage: Eukaryota; Metazoa; Arthropoda; Insecta; Coleoptera; Tenebrionidae
Exons: 2
Source: RefSeq, a predicted model, not a curated record
CUAUAGCGUUGACUUAUUGUUCAAAAGUAUCAUUAGAAGGUAGUAUUGCGAAGUUUACUUGUAAAUACCAAGGUUUUUACUUACCAUGGGUGACGGCUAUGCCAACAAAAUAAGAUUUCAAAUUUGUUACCAACGUGCCGACAAAAAUCACAGUUAUAUUUGUACAUAUAAUAGUAAUUCUGAUAUACAUAUAACCAUGAAAGCUAUAAAACUAAAAAUUAGAGGGUAAUAAAUAAUAAAUCCUGUUGUAAAAUAUUUAUCAAUGUUUUUAAAACAAGUUGUUUAUUUACAACAUAACAAUACAAGCAACAAAGAUCUUUUUAA